UUCUUCUUCUUCUUCUUCUUCUGCGCUCCUGCCGUAAAUGCCUCCUUCCAUUUCUAUCACCCUUCUUAAUGUUAGGCUCUGUCUGCUUGCUUCUGAUUGUAUGAAUAAGUGUUUUGACGUUUUUGUAAGAUUAUCAUUUUCUUAAAGAAAAAAAAAAUCCUUGAUUUUUCUUAAAAAUACUUUAAUUUUUACUUUAUUAUGGAAAUUUUUUUAUUAAUUUUUUAAUAUCCCAAUUGCAAAAAACUUUUUAAAAAAUAUAUUUUUUACAAAAUAAAUGUAGCAUACAAUUAAUUAACACUUAAUUUUAAAUACAUUUGGGUAAAUU
RNAcentral lists this unclassified non-coding RNA (325 nucleotides) under Hevea brasiliensis (rubber tree). The record is from RNAcentral. Lineage: Eukaryota; Viridiplantae; Streptophyta; Magnoliopsida; Malpighiales; Euphorbiaceae.